GCGGUGGGGGUAGGGUUUUUGGAAUAUGAAAUAUAUGAUUCUAAUAAAUAUAUAAAUAAAUACUUUAAAAAAUAUAAUGAUUUUUUAAAAUAGUUUCAAACAUAAUUUUCAAUUUGAAAAAGGAAAAUUUGAAAAAAAAAUUUAAAAAAAAUUGAAAAAAAAUUAUAAAAAAGUUUGAAUUUGAAAAAGUAUAAUACGAAAACAUAAAUUUUAUUUAUUUUUAUUUAUUUUUAUUUAUUUAUUAUUUAUUUUUUAUUUAUUUAAAUAAUGAUUUAUUAUAU
Molecule: long non-coding RNA, 281 nt
Filed under: Brassica napus (rape)
Lineage: Eukaryota; Viridiplantae; Streptophyta; Magnoliopsida; Brassicales; Brassicaceae
Description: long non-coding RNA (BNAP_LNC021770)
Source: RNAcentral